Long non-coding RNA from Brassica napus (rape), 2782 nucleotides. RefSeq lists it as uncharacterized. The record is from RefSeq and is a predicted model, not a curated record. Lineage: Eukaryota; Viridiplantae; Streptophyta; Magnoliopsida; Brassicales; Brassicaceae. The transcript is spliced from 2 exons.
UAUAUAAACAUUUAAGUAUAUGAUUAACGUUAAAAAUAUAUACCACUUAUGUUCUAAAAUAAUAAUUUAUGUAUAAAAAAAUGAAAACAAACAUCCGCGCGGUUGCGCGGAUCAAAAUCUAGUUAUUUUUAAAUUGAUGGUCAUGUUUUUAGGCGUCUAGUAAGGUUUUUUUUUCAGUUAAAUUGAUCUGUGAAUGCAUUAUUGAGUUUGUUUUGUCUAAUAUCCAUAUUUUGUAUUAAUGAACUUUAGUUAUUGGGUUAUUAGUGGACUUUAACUUGAUUGGGUACAUAAAAAUUAAAUGAAAGGUUAACUGAACUAAAGAAGAAGAAAAAAAGUACUUUUAUUGUUUCUCUCUCAGCCGACUCAACCUAAUUUUCUUCUUUCUUUCACUAUCUCAUCCGGCCCGUAUUCUUUUUUCAUCACCUCACCUUCGUCUUCACCUCCUCACCGCAUCUUCUUCAUCACCUAAUCUCCCUUUUCAUCUCAUCCAUCUUCUUCGUUUAACCACCUCACCUUCUUCUUUACCACCUGACCCCAUCUUCUUCUUCACCACCUAAUCUCCCUUUUCAUCUAAUUAUGCUUCGUCGUUCACUUUCCUCUUCUCUGUUUUACUUGAUAAAUUAGGAUUUGAUUCACAGUUCAUCAACAUAAAGUGACAGCAUUUUAUCUGUUUGGUUCAAUUAUAUAGAUAUUUCUCAGUCUGAAAAAAAAACAGAAAACAGUCUAACUUAAUCGAUUUUUUCCAAAUUUACCUAAAUCGCAGGCUUAGAUGUAAUCAUUUGGAGUUUUUGACGGAAACAAAGUUUGUUUGGAUUUAAAAAAAAUGUUUGGAUUACAGACGUGGUCUGACUCAGUUUUUUUGGUUGGAGAAAAGGGAGGAUGGUGGAUUUGGGCUCAGAAAAUAAUUUCCAAUUACUCAUUUAAUAAAAGCGGAAGCCCACUCGUGAAGCCCAAAAAACAAAUUAAAAAGAUGAAAAAACAGAGUUGGACACGUGUCACACUGAGAGGAAUUGACUUAUUGACGUGGAUUCACCAGGAGAGAGAAACAUUUCUUUAUUAUAUAAGAUUUCAAGAUUACAUUUCCUAUCUAGAAUAAUAUUUCUUGUUUUGUUUUCUAAACACAUAAUAUCAUCAUAAAUCUCAUGGUAGUAUAUGUAUCGGUUAGAUAAAUCACCAAUGUAAAAAUCUCUCUCACUAUAUCAACAAAGUUCGAUAAAUACUAAAAAAAAAAAUCAAGAGUCUCAAAUCGAUUCCUUCCUCGGAUAAGAUCUUUUUAUUUUAAGUAGACUAGUUUACAUUACCUUUUGUGGUCGGUAGUUGUGUGAUCAAUUUUGAAUGGUAUAAAUCAUUGAUUAUGCCAAUUUAGUACAUGCUUAGUGCAAUUGGAAGAAGAAGAAAAAUAAAACGUCUUUGGAUUUCUGCAUAAAAGAAACCUAAGAAAAGGUUAAAUGUUAAUUGUUUAAUGAGAAAAUUAGACAUUUAUAUUGAAAUCCUUUAUAUACUAAAGUACAAGUCACUCUACCAAUCAAAUUGUGACACAUGGAUCCUAUUUUAUAUUUUAAAAGUUAAAAAUUGUUUAUAAAAUAAUGAAAGCAAAAAUAAAAAUGGAAAAAAAGAAGAGAAACACACGGUUUUAACAAUCCAGUUCAAUCCAAUAAUCUCUUUCCAACAGUUCUUCUUGCCUACACCUCCACGAUCACCAUUCACGUCAAUCUCUCUUAUAACUACCUUCAUUCCAUCAUUUAUAUUUCUGAAUUGUCAUUGUAAGUUUCUUUUACUCAAAUCCACACAACGUUUCUUCUCCAAGAUAAAUUGAUAUUUGAUGUAUCAUCUUUCUCAAUUUCUCUGGAUCUCAUUCUUUUCUAUGCCUUUUCACUAUGAUAUUUUUGUAUCAAGCUUUCGCAUGCAAGGUUUAUUAGAAGAAAUCAGAAACAGGAGAGAAGAAGACAAGACAAAUUGGCUUUAACAAGAAUGAAACAUUAUUGGAUCAGCAUACAAUCCAGUAAAAAAAAAAGCCAAAACAAAAUGAAGGAGUUUUUUUCUACAACAAACGAAGGACUAGAAUCAGGUGUCCAUAAUCUGAUAACAAGUGGUGUUUUAGAUCUUCUCUGAUUCCUUUUUUUUUUUGUAACUGAUCUUAUCUGAUUAUUUUUCUUAUGCUUUUCUUUAAAAAUAUCUAUUUUAUUUUUGUAGCCUUUACUUGAAGAAAUUCCAUCGGUCAAUACUAAAGAUGUGAUACUUCUUUCGAAAGAAGGAAAGACAUUAAAAACCAAAAACUCUACCAGGGAAAAAGAGUAUUAACAACUUUGAUGAUCCAGCUAAGUAUUUACAAAUCUGUAAGUUAUGAUCUGAGUGUUUCAAAAAUCUUUUUUUUUUUAAAUUAUAAUAGAGCAUGUCUAUUAUAUACAAGUUGAAUACUCUAAAUAUAUCGAGUCUCUUAUCUUUAGUUUCAUUUUUUUCCAUUAUAUUAGAAAUAAGGAGAUUUGUAUUUUUCAAGAAGACGUAUUUACAAAACAAAAUACAAAUAAAACUGAAUAGAUUAAACUUAUUUUUAACUACAUUUAUGCAUGUUUGUAUAUAUCUUAACUUUCUAUGAAAAUUGCUUCUAAAUAUGUAUAUUAUCUCUCUGAAAAAUCAUAAUAAUUCUUAUGAGGCUUCAAACUCUUUGUCUGAAUGCAUCCUCUUCUAAUUUUAGAUGCCGGUGUGUGUUACUAACAUAAUAUUUAAGUUUGAUGAAAACAAAAAUGAAACAACAACAUUGGAAUCUUAAAAAAAAAAACAA